UGGGGAAUAUUGGGCAAUGGGCGCAAGCCUGACCCAGCAACGCCGCGUGAAGGAAGAAGGCUUUCGGGUUGUAAACUUCUUUGACAGGGGAAGAGACGAAGACGGUACCCUGAAAACAAGCCACGGCUAACUACGUGCCAGCAGCCGCGGUAAUACGUAGGUGGCGAGCGUUGUCCGGAUUUACUGGGUGUAAAGGGCGUGCAGCCGGGAGUACAAGUCAGAUGUGAAAUCCCGCGGCUCAACCGCGGAACUGCAUUUGAAACUGUAUUUCUUGAGUACUGGAGAGGCAGACGGAAUUCCUAG
This 303-nucleotide ribosomal RNA is filed under the name uncultured bacterium. RNAcentral describes it as "bacterial SSU rRNA". It matches the Rfam family "Bacterial small subunit ribosomal RNA", at positions 355 to 673 of the family's 1533-position model. The record is from RNAcentral.